RNAcentral lists this ribosomal RNA (479 nucleotides) under uncultured bacterium. RNAcentral describes it as "partial 16S ribosomal RNA". It matches the Rfam family "Bacterial small subunit ribosomal RNA", at positions 28 to 507 of the family's 1533-position model. The record is from RNAcentral.
GAUGAACGCUGGCGGCGUGCUUAACACAUGCAAGUCGAACGAAGCACUUUAACCUGAUUCUUCGGAUGAAGGUUUUUGUGACUGAGUGGCGGACGGGUGAGUAACGCGUGGGUAACCUGCCUCAUACAGGGGGAUAACUGUUAGAAAUGACUGCUAAUACCGCAUAAGACCACAGAGCCGCAUGGCUCGGUGGGAAAAACUCCGGUGGUAUGAGAUGGACCCGCGUCUGAUUAGGUAGUUGGUGGGGUAACGGCCUACCAAGCCAACGAUCAGUAGCCGACCUGAGAGGGUGACCGGCCACAGUGGGACUGAGACACGGCCCAAACUCCUACGGGAGGCAGCAGUGGGGAAUAUUGCACAAUGGGGGAAACCCUGAUGCAGCGACGCCGCGUGAGCGAAGAAGUAUUUCGGUAUGUAAAGCUCUAUCAGCAGGGAAGAAAAUGACGGUACCUGACUAAGAAGCACCGGCUAAAUACGUG